Molecule: ribosomal RNA, 429 nt
Filed under: bacterium
Lineage: Bacteria
Description: partial 16S ribosomal RNA
Rfam family: Bacterial small subunit ribosomal RNA
Source: RNAcentral
UAGGGAAUCUUCCACAAUGGACGCAAGUCUGAUGGAGCAACGCCGCGUGAGUGAAGAAGGUUUUCGGAUCGUAAAGCUCUGUUGUUGGUGAAGAAGGAUAGAGGUAGUAACUGGCCUUUAUUUGACGGUAAUCAACCAGAAAGUCACGGCUAACUACGUGCCAGCAGCCGCGGUAAUACGUAGGUGGCAAGCGUUGUCCGGAUUUAUUGGGCGUAAAGCGAGCGCAGGCGGAAGAAUAAGUCUGAUGUGAAAGCCCUCGGCUUAACCGAGGAACUGCAUCGGAAACUGUUUUUCUUGAGUGCAGAAGAGGAGAGUAGAAUUCCAUGUGUAGCGGUGGAAUGCGUAGAUAUAUGGAAGGACAACAGUGGCGAAGGCGACUCUCUGGUCUGCAACUGACGCUGAGGCUCGAAAGCAUGGGUAGCGAACAGG